CACGUAGGGGACGAGCGUUGUCCGGAUUCAUUGGGCGUAAAGCGCGCGUAGGCGGCCCAGAAGGUCGGAUGUGAAAACCUGGGGCUCAACCCCAGGCGUGCACCCGAUACUCCCGGGCUGGAGGCAGGUAGGGGAGAUCGGAAUUCCUGGUGUAGCGGUGAAAUGCGCAGAUAUCAGGAGGAACACCGGUGGCGAAGGCGGAUCUCUGGGCCUUGCCUGACGCUAAGGCGCGAAAGCUAGGGGAGCGAACAGG
RNAcentral lists this ribosomal RNA (253 nucleotides) under uncultured bacterium. RNAcentral describes it as "partial 16S ribosomal RNA". It matches the Rfam family "Bacterial small subunit ribosomal RNA", at positions 524 to 776 of the family's 1533-position model. The record is from RNAcentral.